CCUUGGGAUGUGCGUUCUGCUUGACUUCCGGGCUCCCAGAGGCUGCUCCAAGGACAUGGCAUUGAGAUAGCGAUGCGGUGUCUAGAGACCAGCUGGACCGUGUGUAUGUGACUCAACCCAGUUAAUGCCUCUGUAUAAACUUUCAAGAUCUGGCAGGCGGGUGCGGAAAUCUACCCCUCUUGCGGCCGGCCACCCAAGACAAGCCUUGAGAGAACAUGUAUGAAACCCUGGGCUGAUAAAAAUGCCUACUAGGGGGUCGAUACCCUCUUCACCCUCACUGCCCUCAAGGUUUAUGAAGAUAACUGGGCUGGAUUGACCGUCCCCUCCUUCGCUGGCUUUCCCCGGCGCUCUAUAAGCUUGCUUCAGGGCAAGCCCGGAGGCAGCAAGGGAAUCAACUCUACCAUUCAUCUCCCAAGAGGCACCGAAAGUUCUAAGGAGAGAAGACGUGUGGAACGGAGGCAAGGGUGGGGCUGCUGGAAGGGCCGGGCCAGAAGUCUCUGAAUCUUCAACUCCAGAC
Leopardus geoffroyi (Geoffroy's cat) is the source of this 517-nucleotide long non-coding RNA. RefSeq lists it as uncharacterized. NCBI's taxonomy places the organism in Eukaryota, Metazoa, Chordata, Mammalia, Carnivora, Felidae. The record is from RefSeq and is a predicted model, not a curated record. The transcript has 3 exons.